GCAGAGAAGGAGGAAGGAAGGGAAAGCCCUGCUCGGCUGGACUGCCUGGGACCUCUUGACUCAACCCACUGGUGGGGGAGGAAGCAGGCUGCCUGGAGACAUUUGGCAGAACCUAAGGAAGACAGAGGUCUCCUGGGGAAUUGGUAUCUGUCUAGCAUAAAACGGACACCUCUGGUGAGUUCCCAGAAUCCAGGCAGCCCCUGCAUUCCAGCAGACCCCUAGAAGAAUGAAGAACGUCCAGGUUUGGUGGACUCCUUCCCAUCUGAGUGAGGCCUUGAUGGUGGGGACGUCGUUCUCUGCCUUUCCAGGUCUUAUCAAACUAUAGCUCCCCACUAACAGGGUCAGGGGGUUUCAAAUUCACCUUUUCUGGUUUGUACAACCUCAGAGACCAGGACACGGAGGGAGGGACUCUACGCCUUCGCUCCGGUCCACGCCAGGCUAUGUCUUGCCUCCUUCCCGCCCCUUUGCAUCGCUGAACCUACCUUCCCCCGGCGAGCAGGUGGGGGGGCUUGGGGCUGCCCAGGAGGGCAGGAGCAUCCCAGCCCGCUUCUGCCUGGAGCAGCCGCGGCGAGCCCUCGGGGAAAGAGGGCAGGGAAAAGUGCGGGUGGUCACGGCCCUCGUGACUGGUCAGGACGCUGGGCCAGGCUCGGCGCCCAACAAGGAAGAGAGCGGCCGAGGGGGCGCGCUAGGAGGCAGGACCCUGAGAUGAAUGCGGCAGGAGGAGUUUGGGACUUGGAUUUGAACUGUGAGCCGGGGCUAUGCUGGAGUAAAGUGGAGAUGCCUGCUACUCCCUCACUCACUCCCGCGAGUGCCCUCUGUCCGGCGACGCGCCACGGGAACACUGUGGCCCCUUGCCCAAGGGGCCGGGCUGUCCAGGAGGCGGUGCCGGGAGGGGCCACCGAGGGUCCCCCGGGAGCCCGCUGGGUUUCCCAGAUGCCUUCCCCGGCCCCCACCGCAAAGCUGGAGUCAGAAAGGGGCGGGAGGGCUGGCGGGGGCCACUCAGAGUUUCCAGCGACAUUUCCAGGGUGUGGGAAGCGAGCUGCUCCACAAGAGCCAGGACACAGGGCAGGAGUGAUUAACCGAAUGGUCCCUGAGUGCCAGAGCCCGGGUGGGGCCGGAAUUAGAUACGCAGCCCUCGGCCUUGGAGAGGCAGGAGACAGGCCCGGAGGCAGACAGGCUGGGACCGAGAUAAGUCACGGUGGCCCAGGAACAAGGCAACACCCGCUUGGGGAGAGAGAGUUCAUGCUUGUUAGACCUAAGCGCACUGACCAGGCGUUUGCAAACACUCGUGUACUGGCAAACGUGAGGAUGCUCACACACACGUGCAAAGUUUGGGGGAGGGAAUCGACCGGCUCCCUGGACGUGCCACAGCAUUGAAGAGGAUAAGGGUGGGGCCCUUUGGGCGGGGAUGAGGUUAAGAGGGUCUUGGUGUUCCCAUUCACCGUAUUUGUUUUGAUCCUGCUUUUCCGCUGUUCCUACAGUGCUGACUGCUGACGCAGAUCUGAAGGACACCGCCCACUGGCUCCCCAUUCUCUCUGGCCCUCCCUCCUCCCCUCCUCGUCCAGUCUUCUGCUGACGAAGCUGAAGAUCUUCCCACUCCAAGAAUCCUGGCCAUCCCCCUUCACCAGCAGUGAACUUCUUAGGCUCUAAGGCUCUGACCUGGACUCCAAGAUAAAUAUUUAAUGUAGAGGGUGCCGCUGAGCUGCCGAAGGUCCCAACUUCCUGUUUCUCACAAGAGAAGGCACAGUGUGGGCAAGGGAGCUGAGGACUGGCUACCAGUCCCAUCUCUAUGGGGAUGGGGAGUCUAGUAAACAGUCUUGGAGGAUGUAGGUUGGGAGGAACGGGGAGGGUGGCAAUGGAGGGCUGAACUGCUGCAGCUCUGCUUUGUCAGUCAGGCCGGGGCUGGCUCGCCACCUCUCAGGUUGGAGCUCACUGUGUUCACAAGUAUUCGGAUGGCUUUACAAAACACGGAGGCACGAGGCGCUAGGACCGCAGGGCAGAUCAGAAGGGAGUAGCCAAGAACACACGGACUCUUCUAGAGUCCGUAACCAACCCAGCAGUGAGGAGCUGAAGCCAAGUCACCAUAGAUAUACUAGCACAGAUCUCGACUCUGUUUCAUCCCUGGGGCCAUCUCCUGAUUCCAGGUCUGGCAGUACUGCCAACUAAGCUCUAUCAAUGGGCCCACCUAUGCCAAUCACUCAUGAGAACAGGGGCAAGCAAGGGAGGGAAGUGAAAUGACCCACUUUGGGGCUCCAAGGGCCCUCUUACACACUGGUCUAUCUGGAAGUCUGAGGUUUUUUUUUGGGGGGGGGGAGGGGGUUAGUCACUGCAAAGUGAAGGAACUCUAAGGGAAGCAACAACAAUAAAAAAACACAGGGCAGGUCAAGGCAGGUCAAUGUCAGACCUGGAAGCAAGGACAGGUAUGUAAAACCCCACAAGAACAAGAGCCUGGAGAUUUCAGGCCUGCUUUGAGCAAAUAUUUUCAUAGCACACAUAUCAUGGGCAUCUCAUGUUUCCUGGCAUCUAAACCCCAAAGGCAGUGAAAAGAAUCAGUUCCUGCCCAGUUUAUCCAGUCUGUCCUCCAGGAGGCCUGGACACUGACUGACAUCACAUCCACCAUGCGUCCCUUUUCGUGGAUAAACAAACAGAUGCCAUGGCCAGACAGGAAUGCCUGAGAAGGACCAACCUAGACAGGCUUCCUUUGGUUCUUACAAAAGGAUGGAAGGAGCAAGUAGGUGACAGGUCUCGAGAAAGCAGACUUUGCAGAGUGAUGCCCUCAGAGGGAAUGGAAGUCAAGUCAGCCACAGACAAGGGCAAAGAACCAGGGCCUGGAAAAUUGGGUCGGCCUCAGCCUUCCAUCCCAGCUCAGGGAAACUGAGAUAAGGGAGUCAGAGAGCUGACUGGCCGGCCAGAGGGUACCAUGAUAGAGUGCUGCUAUCCAAACAAAGGCUAGCCUGUCUUCUGGCCUCCUUGAGUUCUAUGAUAAACUGUCUGUCUCCACUGUAUUAGCAGUAAGACUCAAUUUACCUCUAAGUGACCAAUGCACUAUCAAGAGUAAGCUUUGCAAAUAAAAUCUUAAGAGUUGUGAUCUUUUAAAAAGUGAAGAGGAGGAAGCAGAAGAGGAGGAAGAGGAGGAGGAGGAGGAAGAGGAGGAAGAGGAGGAGGAGGAGGAAGAGGAGGAGGAGGAAGAAGAAGAAGAAGAAGAAGAAGAAGAAGAAGAAGAAGAAGAAGAAGAAGAAGAAGAGGAGGAGGAGGAGGAGGAGGAGGAGGAGGAGGAGGAAGGAGUGAAGCCAUCUAAUUACCCAGAGCAGACAACAAAGUAGGGAUUAGAUCUCAAUCUAGCAGGGGUCAGUGUGACUCAGUGUCUCAUCCUUCUUUCCUAGGCUCUGAAACAGCUUCCCACGACUCUGUAAAUAAGGGCAAACAUUACCUCAUCUCACUGGGGCUUUAGCUAAGGGAUAAGGCCACUGUUAACUCAGGAUGUCACUGGGGUAACAACAUAAAAUGCUCACUUGGCUUUUGUGCAGUUAAAAAAUCCGGGCUCAUUUUUCUGGUCUUAAAAUUGCACACUGUGGCUGUAUUUGAUGUCAAUGUUGCUAUUUGGAUGCAGCAGACCUGGAUUUAGCCUUUCCACCUCUGUUGCCAUAAUCUUUCCAAGUCCCUGUCCAGGGCCUCAGCCUUUCCCUGUCUCCACCCCCAAGCUGUGCAGCCAUGCUUAUCUGCUCUUGUGAAUUCCCAGCCCCCUGGGAUCUGUUUGCUUUGCAGAGGACUCCAAGGCUGUUCUGGUACUGCUAAGCUUAGGAGUACAGCUUUUCAUCAACUCCCUUUGAGCUUCUGACUUUUCCCAGAUCAUAUGAAAACUUAGUAAAUGACUAUCGUAAAAUGUAUUUUUGUGCUUUGUAAAGACUGUUUUCUGGGUUAUCAUCCUUCUACUCCUUCAAGGAGGGGCCUCUGCUGGAAAGGCCGCAGAGGGUCUAGGGCAGGAGAUCGUGGUGGGCAUAAUUUCAGGAAGAGGUAAGAGGCAAAGGAAACAGGGUUUGCAGGAGGGUGGGUGGGCAGGCGGGCGAGGGUUGGGAAGCAGAAACUCAUCAGAGGCCAUCUGAGCUUUAACCAAGGCUGAGGGAUCCUCUCUUGUGAAGGGACUUACUGGCAUUGUCAGAAAUCAGACCAGACAUCAGAAACUAGGCUUUCCCUCACCGCUGGAAUUACUAACUGGGUCAGAGCCUAAAGAUCAGUCCCUCUACUAAGAAUUCAAGGAAAUAAAGACACAGGGAGUCAAUGAAGUUAUCCUUCACUUAUAAGAGCAUUUGCUUCUUUUAAUCUUAAGAGGACUUCUAGUGUAUAGUAAGAAAGUUCUUAUAAAACUUAUUCACAAAGACUAAUGUCUCCUGUUGAGAGGUAACAUUUCUAGGAUUGUCUUUAACAUAGCAGAAAGCAGGAGAACGCAGGUAACCUCUAAGUACGAGCGAAUAGGCCAUCAUUCAAGGGAGCCACCAUCUACAUCGGCAUGUCUGACUGCUUCAUCAUCUACGAAGUGACACAGAGAGCCAAUCCUCUAGGAAGGGUCGGGUGAUGGGGAAAAGAGCUCUGGCUUAGGAUGCUGGGAGGAAUGAACAUAAGGGGCUCCUGAUGGCAUCUUUGCAAAGGCUCCGGGACAGACAAAAACACAUUUCCCUUUUCUCUUGUUUUAAACACAGGCUUUCAUUAUGUAGCCCUGAUUAGCCUGCCAUUUACUGUGACACCAGGCAACCCUCAAAUUUGCAGUGGUUCUUUUGCUUCGUCAUGUGCCCAGCCCAGAUCACAUCUUUAUCACCCCAAACCAUAGGUUCUGGCUACCUACAUCUAGUCAUGUGCACUUCACUUUGAUACGCUCCCCCUCCCCCCAAACCAGAAAGACAGGGAGGGUACUUGGAGAACUGUGAAAGGGGGUAAAGGGAAUGUGGGCAGGGACUUACAGGCAGGCAGUGUGCUUGGCUCUACUUCAGAGCUGCACAGAGGGAUGGUCCAUGUCCACGUCCCUGCUGCUUGAUCUGAAACCACCUAGACUUGGCAUGAAAUUGUUGACGAUGCAUAACCCUGGCUCAAACAAAGGUGUUAUUUAGCACGUCUUGCCACAGUUGCUGAGGCGUGAGGCCAAGGCCUCCCAGGAGGGAAUAUGCUCCCAGUAUCAUCUUUACCUUUGUGACUGCAUAGAUGAAGGCCGUUAACACUGACCCCAUUCACUCUGGCUGGCUAGAUAGAGGCAGGACAGCUCCCAAGUCCCAAUGUCAUGUAGUUUCCCUCUCUCAAACUGCCAAUGGCACAGAGCCCUAUUGUUAGCACAGCGCAUUGCUGGCAUCCAGAUGAGAGCGCUGCUCCUGUCCUUCGGCAAACUGGCUUUCUUCUCUACACUCAUCUGCUCUUUCUUACGGCUUCCCUAUGAGCUUCUGAUCAUGGCAAGAACUGAAAGAGAUUCCUCUGUGUGACCCAAACCCUCUUCAGUGUCUUGCUGUCUUGGCUGCUCUUUACACUGAUCUAACAGGCUACAGGAAAGACAGGACGGGUGUCAGAUAAGGGACUUUCAGAACUUCUGCCUUCUUAUGGGUCCUUAGCAGUGAGGGGCCUCCACCAGUGGACUGUGUCACAAUACGAUCUACUGUGACUUUCAUAGACACACUGACAGUGAAAACAGAAGAAUGCUGGGAAAGCAGCUGCCAUGCUUGACGUGCUGACACAGAGGGACAAGGACAGAUCUCAGCGCUCACGUCCUGAGGACCUUCCAGAGAUGUUCACAAUGGGUUGGUUCAUCUGGGGUUAGAAACUGAAAGCAAAGAAUCUGGCAACAGCUGAAGAGGUGACUUUAAGCAGGUCUAAGAAAACCUCUCAGGAUUAUUAUUAUUUUAAAAGGUUUAUUGCAUUUACUUGUUUAUUUUGUUUGUUCCACAAUGUUGUGUGAAGGUCAGAGGAUGACUUUUGUAAGUUGGUUUUCUUCUUCCUGGGGAGCAGACUUAAGUAAGCAGGCUAAGCAACCUCACUAGCCCACCCUGAUGAUUACUUUUUAACAUGAACCCAGGAGUGGAGGCCCAGCGGGGCAGUAGAGGGCUUUCACAGCAUGUGCAAGGCCUGGUUCAAUCUUAUGUAUCACACACACACACACGCACACACACACACACACACACUCUACAAUCACAGAGCUCAGAAGCCGAAAGGAAGUAAAUUAUUAUGGAAGCAGUUCCACCUGGAUCUUAAAAAUCACUAGGUUUGGGCUGUUCUCUUGGAAGUCCAAGUUUCCCUCAGAAGAGAAGCAAUUUUAGCCAUUGAGAUUGGUACUGAGCAGAAGGGAAAUUUUGAAAGACAAUUUUUUUUUCUCUGUGUAGCCCUGGCUGUCCUGGACAACUCACUUUGUAGACCAGGCUGACCUCGAACUCAGAAAUUCACCUGCCUCUGCCUCCCAAGUGCUGGGAUUAAAGGUGUGCACCACCAUGCCUGGCUAUUGAAAGACAUUUUCGAGUUAUGUCAUAAAUUAAAAAAAAAAAAAUCACCUCCCCAAACAAGAAGAGGGCUAACUAGGAGUAUGAGUCAGAAAUCUAGGGUGAAGGUUUCCAAGGCCCUUAUUAUUAGGGGAAGGUCCCCUUUAUAGCAUAAGAUUUCAACACACACACACACACACACACACACACACACCCAACCAAUCAGAUUCGUUCCUAAAAUUAGGACAAGGGGAGGGAAACAAAACAAAAGUAUUUUAUAUAUAUAUAUAUAUUGAACAUAAAUUAGAAGAAUUUAUAAAAUGGUCAUUUUUCUUACAGAAUAAAUGCGACUGAAUUACAAAUGCACCUCCAAGUUUAAGUUGUUUGAGUUGUUCCUGUUUCAUUUCCAGUAUAAAUAAAUGUGAUUUGCUCAUA
This is a long non-coding RNA of Mus musculus (house mouse), 6884 nucleotides long. RefSeq annotates it as predicted gene, 26908. The transcript has 6 exons. The record is from RefSeq and is a predicted model, not a curated record. NCBI's taxonomy places the organism in Eukaryota, Metazoa, Chordata, Mammalia, Rodentia, Muridae.